AGGGUUUGAUUAUGGCUCAGGACGAACGCUGGCGGUGCGCCUUAUGCAUGCAAGUCGAGCGAAGCUUUUCAGUAGUUUACUACAGAAAAUGACUGAGCGGCGAACGGGUGAGUAACGCGUGAGCAAUCUACCUUAGUUACAGGGAUAGCCCGAGGAAACUCGGAUUAAUACCUGAUAUUCUUUAUUUCUCGCAUGAGAAUAAAAGGAAAGGUCAGCCGAACUAAGAUGAGCUCGCGUUCUAUCAGCUAGUUGGUGAGGUAAAAGCUUACCAAGGCUACGACGGAUAGCUGGUCUGAGAGGACGAUCAGCCACACUGGGACUGAGACACGGCCCAGACUCCUACGGGAGGCUGCAGCAGGGAAUAUUGUGCAAUGAACGAAAGUUUGACACAGCGACACCGCGUGUGGGAUGACGGAUCUAGGUUUGUAAACCACUUUCAGGAGGGAAGAAAAUGACGGUACCUCCACAAGAAGCCCCGGCCAACUACGUGCCAGCCGCCGCGGUAAUA
Molecule: ribosomal RNA, 508 nt
Filed under: uncultured bacterium
Lineage: Bacteria
Description: bacterial SSU rRNA
Rfam family: Bacterial small subunit ribosomal RNA
Source: RNAcentral